RNAcentral lists this ribosomal RNA (527 nucleotides) under uncultured bacterium. Its description in RNAcentral is "bacterial SSU rRNA". It matches the Rfam family "Bacterial small subunit ribosomal RNA", at positions 778 to 1305 of the family's 1533-position model. The record is from RNAcentral.
AUAGAUACCUGUAGUCCAUGCCGUAAACGUUGGGCACUAGGUGUGGGGCUCAUUCCACGAGUUCCGUGCCGCAGCAAACGCAUUAAGUGCCCCGCCUGGGGAGUACGGCCGCAAGGCUAAAACUCAAAGGAAUUGACGGGGGCCCGCACAAGCGGCGGAGCAUGCGGAUUAAUUCGAUGCAACGCGAAGAACCUUACCAAGGCUUGACAUGCACGGGAAGCCACCAGAGAUGGUGGUCUCUUUGGACACUCGUGCACAGGUGGUGCAUGGUUGUCGUCAGCUCGUGUCGUGAGAUGUUGGGUUAAGUCCCGCAACGAGCGCAACCCUCGUCCCAUGUUGCCAGCGGGUUAUGCCGGGGACUCAUGGGAGACUGCCGGGGUCAACUCGGAGGAAGGUGGGGAUGACGUCAAAUCAUCAUGCCCCUUAUGUCUUGGGCUUCACGCAUGCUACAAUGGCCGGUACAAAGGGCUGCGAUGCCGUAAGGUGGAGCGAAUCCCAAAAAGCCGGUCUCAGUUCGGAUUGGGGUC